Molecule: ribosomal RNA, 496 nt
Filed under: uncultured bacterium
Lineage: Bacteria
Description: partial 16S ribosomal RNA
Rfam family: Bacterial small subunit ribosomal RNA
Source: RNAcentral
GAUGAACGCUGGCGGCGUGCCUAAUACAUGCAAGUCGAGCGAACAGACGAGGAGCUUGCUCCUCUGACGUUAGCGGCGGACGGGUGAGUAACACGUGGAUAACCUACCUAUAAGACUGGGAUAACUUCGGGAAACCGGAGCUACUACCGGAUAAUAUAUUGAACCGCAUGGUUCAAUAGUGAAAGACGGUUUUGCUGUCACUUAUAGAUGGAUCCGCGCCGCAUUAGCUAGUUGGUAAGGUAACGGCUUACCAAGGCAACGAUGCGUAGCCGACCUGAGAGGGUGAUCGGCCACACUGGAACUGAGACACGGUCCAGACUCCUACGGGAGGCAGCAGUAGGGAAUCUUCCGCAAUGGGCGAAAGCCUGACGGAGCAACGCCGCGUGAGUGAUGAAGGUCUUCGGAUCGUAAAACUCUGUUAUUAGGGAAGAACAAAUGUGUAAGUAACUAUGCACGUCUUGACGGUACCUAAGCAGAAAGCCACGGCUAACUACGU